Papaver somniferum (opium poppy) is the source of this 5416-nucleotide long non-coding RNA. RefSeq lists it as uncharacterized. The record is from RefSeq and is a predicted model, not a curated record. Lineage: Eukaryota; Viridiplantae; Streptophyta; Magnoliopsida; Ranunculales; Papaveraceae. The transcript is spliced from 7 exons.
UUGACCGGAAAACAAACACACCGGACGACGGACAGGAGAGGUAAAGAGAGAGACUCAAUCAAUCAUACAGAAGAGAGAGACAGAGGGCGACCCACCACCAAUACCUAAGAGCUACGAUGAUGCGACUAAUCGUGUAGGAGGGCAGGUGUUUUUACUACCGAAAAUGUCCCGGCCAUAGGUGAGCGAGUGAGAAGAUGAUAAAGAAAAACUAGUACUAGUAAUUGUAUGAUAAGAUUGAAUUUUAGAAUCCGAAAAUCUCCUUCUAUCCAAAGAUUUUUGGUUUCGAACUCCUUGAUUUCCAUGUAUAAUAUCCAAAGAAGAAAGCUCUGAGGUCGGCAACUCAUUGAUUUUUGGCCAUGGAAGCUGCUUCCUGUUAGUUUCUGCUUCAUUGUUGCCUCGACGACCAAUCUCUAAAUGAUCUAGCUCACUCAAACACCCAAACUCAGCUGGAAUUUCUCCAUCCAAUAAAUUCCCGGCAUGAUGAAUGUAACAUGUUUGAGACAAGUAACUUGUAAUGGAAGUGGAUCAGACAGAACAGAGUAUACUCUGUUUCCACCUCUAUCUCUAGGAGUACUACUUAAUUCUUGCUUCUUUCUUGAAAUCUCUUUCAUCCUCGGAGGAGAAGGAAAUUCAUUCAUUUUCCAAACAACUUCAUUCUUUCUAUCUAAAAUCUCUCUUUCAAAGACAUAUGAAAGGGGAGCAGUGAAAUUAUUACUGUAUGUUAAAGAUUUCAACUUUGAAAGGGAAAACAUCGAGAGAUUUAAGUUGAGCUAGUAAAUCAAAAUUGGAGUUACUUAUCAAUUUCCACUGAGAUUUGAAAGGGAUGCAACCAGAAAGAUUCAAUUUUAUUACUGUGACAUUGAGUACUACUACUAGACCAAGGUCACCAAAGUUGUUUAGAAGAUGUUGAGUUCACUACACUACUUGGGUGUCCCAAAUCGCCGAGGAGGAGAAAAAGUGGGUCUUUAAAAGAAGAUGAUUUAAGUGAUAUAUACUACAUAUUGGUGAGACAAGUUGAAGAGGUGUUGGUGUUCUUGCUGAUGAAGAAGAAGAAUGAAUAUGAAUUCAACGAGAAUAAAAAAGAAGAAGAAAAUGAUGAAUUGAGAAUGUUUUUUUGGUUUCAUGGUUUUCGGUGGUGGUGGGUCUUUGAUUUAUGCCAUGGUGUGCUCUUUACAAGCUUCCUAUUAGUCAUCAAUACACAGUCUCCGAAUCAAGUGAACAUCCGAGCUUCAAAUCACCAAACGGAAUUCACAGACUUCUACCGCUUCUUGGUUGUCUUAUAUCACCAGAGAAAUCGAAAUUCAGUACUACUAGUGAAAUGACAAAAGUAGUACUCCCACAAGUAGUACUCUGAGAAGUGAUUGGUCAUCCAUACCCAACACCCUUCAUCAGAAUCAACAUCAUACACUCUAUCAUCAUCAUCCUCCCUAUCCAUUUAUCAUCAGUUGCUAAUUUAGCUAACUCAUCAUUAACACCAUAACUAGUAUUUUAAGAAUUUUUUUACAGAUGCAUAACCAAAACCCAGUAGCUAGCUAGUUACUCAAGUUUUUUAGUUUCUUAUGAUCUUGAAUCCAAAAAUGACAAGCAGUGAACUCAAACUUAGAUGGAGGUGGUAGUACACAACUCUUUCAAAAGAAGAAGAUACUGAAAUUUGAAUCACUAAAUGUGGUCUUGAAACUGAAACCCAUUUCUUAUUCUCAAACUUUUAACUGAAACAAACCAUCAUCAAGGAUUAGUACUAGUCUAAAAGUUGAGAUGAGAUUACUACAUCACCAGAACAAAGUCUUCUGCCAUUUUCUUUUUGACAGAGAGAGAGACUAAUUGUGGUGGUUUAUGUGUUUGUUUACUGUUUUUAAGGGCAUUUUGUGGGAGGGGGUAGAGGAAAAGUUUGGGAUUUGGGGAGGAAGAUGUUGAGUUCACUAUACUUGGGUGUCUCAAUCACCGAGGAGAAAGAGAAGAUUUAGAGAGACGAGAUUUUGGUGUUCUUGCUGAUGAAGAAGAAGAAGAAGAAGAAGAAUGGAGCUGAAAUGAAUAAGAAAAAGAUGAAAAUGGAAAUGAUGAAUAGAGAAUUGUGUUAUUAGUUUCAUGUUUGCGGUGGUGGUGGGUUUCUGGGGAUGAUGAAAAAUUCAUCCAGAGUAAAUUGAAGAAUGAUAAUUAAGAAGAACAAUCAUCUGAUGAAGAUGAGACCAGAGAAAGGGUUUCAUGAGAUUUUAUCCGCUAACAGUGACCGGCUUGAUCCUGAAUCAAUCAAGAGUGAGUACUUGUGAUGAUUACGACCAAGAAGGUAAUCAAUCAUCUGAUGAAGAUGAGAUGCAAAGAGUGAGUAAUUUUAUAAAUGAAGUCGAACAAGUAGGAACAAUGGGAAUGAAUGAUAUGAAAAUAGUUAUUUCAGAGUGGUUGAUUACAUCUGGUUAUGGUAAAUCUCGAUUGUUGAUGAAGAAGCAUGAAGAGUAAAAUGCUAAAAAGAAUUACUUCUCCAGUCUAGAAAAAGAUUCUAGUGAUGUAUCGCCAACGCCCAUCCAGUAGAUCAGAGGUCUCAACUUGAAAGGGAAAUAGGCAUGUUUUGUAGGGACUGGCUGAAUUACCAACGGGAUCCAUCUAUUAAGUAUUUGGAUAUUUAUUUGAACGAUGAGUGUGAUAAAUAUAUGGAGAAGGUUUACGAAUCCGAAGUUUAUGUAUAAGUUCAGAAACUAAUUAAGACAUUUGAUGAGAAAUCGGUUGAAAACCUCAAACACUUCAUUGACAUGUUGCCAGUGACAAAGGAAGUGUUCAACUAUGGGAUGAAUUGGGAGUUGGUUGAAAAGUAUGAGCUGCUUGAGAAAAUGAGGCCAUGGAUUUCAAAUAUUGCAAGAACCUCAACAGAUGAAGAGGCAGCGGACAUUGUUUCUCAAAUUCUGGAGUAUAUGAAAUAUCAUGAUUCUGUGUCGUCAAUUCAUAAAAAAAUUAUGUCCUUUGGAUUGGUCAGUGAGGGUGAAUCUGAAAGAUUAUUCCGUAACACGUGGGAAAAGCUUUUCUUUGAGAUCAGUAAGCUUGAGGAAGGCAUGUCCUUGGAUCCAAUAGCCUUCCAUAAAUGAAUCUUUCAAUUAUUUUCCUCUCUCUAUCCAGUGCCAUUUUUUCUAUAUUCCCAAAUUUGGUUUAUUAUAGUCGACGGAAAGAAGCCUUUGGGUGUCGAGGAUUUCAAUGAGACACCUAAAACGGAUGAGGAGGUGCGCUUGCUUGAGAUAAAUUGGGCUGUUUUUGACCAGCAUGAGGUGCAUGAGAAAAUGAGAUUUUGGAUAACAAACAAGGUCAUGGAGCUUCUUAAGACAGAAAAGGCCAAUGUAGUUGAACAGGUCGUAGACUGCAUCAGAAAACAAAACCUUCCUUCCCAAAUGCUGGAGCUGCUUGAACUCUCAUUGAUUCAUUGGAUGUUCAUACUGAAACUGAAAAGGUUGUGCGAAUUCUAUGGAGGACGCUUCUCAUACUAGUACAAAUAUUAGAGAUAGGCAGAGAUGAUCAAGGCAUGAUGACAUUCCUUAAUCUUUGUUUCCUUCUUAUCUUUUUUUAACCCUCUGAUGGUUUGCCGUUCUUUCACGUUGAUGUGGUUUGUCUAUCAGACAGAAUUGUGGUUUAAAAGGGGUUUCUUCAAUUCUUCUAUUUACAUCUUACUUGAAUCUUUUAUUCAUCUCUAAAGCAUUCAUUUUAUCCGCUGCGGAGUUCCAUAAAUCCAUAUCGAACGCGGAAGGGAAGAAGCAUAUGCCCUCUGUCAACAACUUGGGUCAGCCAGAUCCAGUCUGGAAUGGUGAUUAGAGCAGUGAUCGUGUCAAAAAUGUGAUUAAAAGGAAUAGGUGCUACAGUUAUCCUUCAUUUUGGCGCCAGAAAAAAAUGCUCGACUUUGAGACCUCUGUGAAGCUAGAUUAGGGAAUUCAAUUCCGAGUGAUAUAGAGACGUUAUCCUCUUACGAGGUUGAUUGGGCUGUGUCUGACAAGGAGGAGUUGCAUAGCCAAUUGAGACCAUGGAUUUUCCGUGAGAUUAUGGAGUUUGUGAGGCUGGAAGAAGCAGGUAAUCCUGUUGUUGACUCUAUUGAUGCUAAUGCAAAAGAUGUUUUGGAGCUCGUCAAGCCUAGUUUGGGUGAAAAAUCUGCAAUUUUUGUGCUGAACUUGUGGAUGAAAAUUAUCUUUGGAAUCCAGUUAGCAGGGACGACAGUACUUGAUCCCUUUCUGGAUAUUGACAGAGAGAGGUCAGCCAGAGAAAUGGUGAAAAUUUCACAGUAUGGUGACAGGUUUAGUCGAAACCGUCAUUUUAUGAUGGUUGCAUUCGACUAUGAGAACCUUCGCAAGCUCAAACAGAUCAGUGAAACAAUGCCGAAAACGAAGGCAGAGCUUCUCUUAUGAGAUAAAGUGGGAUGUUUACGAAAAGCAUGGACUGCAGAAGCACAUGCAUGCAGGGAUAUGGAUAGAGAUUCUGGAGCUCAGUAGGCAGAAACAAGAAGCUAUGCUGGUCGAUGAACAAAUCAUGUGGAGCAUCUUCGAGUAUCAUGUUUCAGCAUCACAGAGGGAGUUCACUGCACAGGGAAAAGCUAUUCACGUGUUUAAACAAAUCAUUUCGAGACUUAACAAGGAUCGUGCUCACCCAUCUGAAAUGGAGGAGUAUCUUGGAACCAUAUUGGGCAGUGGGUGUGAGAAAUUUGUGAUGAAGAUGUGGUAUUCUAUUAUCUGCGGUAUCAGAUUCGCUGAAGCCCGCCUUGAAAGGAAGUGCAAACAGCGACAGGGGAGUAUGAUGCUACUACCAGUGGAGGGUGAAUACGAAGUCGUAGAACUUUGAUGGAUUUCCUUUGCUCUUUUAAGUAUCAGAGUCUUAUCUAAAGGAAUCCCAUCACUAUUAUGCUUUCUUUUGACUAACUUUCUUUUAUUCUUUGUGUGGUGUAAAGGAAUCCUUCAUGGUGGUUAUUAAACACACCAAGUAUGUUCCUAAUGUAGGAUGCGGUGUUGCAGUGCAGUGCACAACAGUGAAAAAAAAUGGGUUAAAAAGUCUGCCCUGGAUGCAGUGAAGUGCAUAAGAGCGCGAAAGUUGGGUUGAAAUGUCUUCCGAAUUGGAACGGACCUAAAGAAGAGACAUGAAAAAGAAAGAAAGAAAUGCACCACUGAUGUGGCAGAAAUGUGAAUGACAAACCGGAGGAGUAACAAAAAAAAAGAGACAGGACUUCCUACAACCAAGGCUCUUGGAGUUGCUUAAAAGGUGUGUGCAAAAACGAGACAAGUAGGUGAAGAAUGGUUCAAACACCAAAGAAAACCGAGAUUUUAUUGAAAAACCUUCCAGUAACUUUAAUAUUCAUUUAGAGUGACAAUGCUCACGUAUAUGAUGAAUGAUUCUUUGUCUCUCCAAAAUUUCACACUUUCCUGUUUACCUAAUAAAUGGUAAUGUACAGUUGCAAGAA